Molecule: long non-coding RNA, 10077 nt
Organism: Marmota monax (woodchuck)
Lineage: Eukaryota; Metazoa; Chordata; Mammalia; Rodentia; Sciuridae
Exons: 3
Source: RefSeq, a predicted model, not a curated record
CUAGUGGCCACUUGGCCUUGCUCAAGCAGUGCCUGCAAACCUCAUCAUGUGCUCUCUGGCUGGAAGCGGCCAUCCUCCCCAGGCAGAACUGAAGUUCACUGAGGACUUCCGGAAGAAAAGCCCAGCGACACACUAACGCGAGGUAAACAUGGAACUGCUUUCUGACCCCCAGAUGCGGCGCUCAGGCCUUGGAUCAGCACAGGGGCUGCACCAUGAGUCUCACCCUGACAACGUAGAACUCAGCUCUUGCUUCUCUCCAGGAACACGUCGUCACGCUGAGUUCCUAAGUCCUCACCACCUCCUCUAAUACCAACUGGCCAUAAAGUGGGGGAAAGAAGCACAUCAAACUCAGGCCUGCUCAGGUCCAGCAUACAGGAUGGUGUUUCCCGUAAAAGCAAAAGGAAAACAUGGCCCCUCGUCCUGGAGCCACCCCGUAAUCCCAAGCAGUCAUCUCGCUUUCCUUCACUGCCGUUCCUUCAUCAUCAAAAUGCCAUAUUUGAGGACCAUAGCUGAAGUAGCCAAGUAACAUUAUCCAAUCAAGGGGAGCACCAUCUAAUGGUCACAGAGGCUGCGGCGUCGGCAGCCACACGUGUUUCGUGGAACGCACUCCCAUGCCUGAGCAAGCAGGAAAACACGCGAGGGAAGUGAUCCGGCUGAGAAUGAACUGCAAACUGAUGAACACGCAGUUGCUAAUGCAGUGUUUAUUAUUUUUUACUACAAUAAAAAUUAAACUGUACACCACGCUGGCCAGCCAACAGAGUGAACUCCACCGUCUGGAUAGCGGCAUUGGUGUCUCUGUAGCCUCGGGUUGCAGGGGACUGAUGCCAGGUCCAAUUUUAUUUGUAAAUAGGCCCUGGGUGUCUGGACAACAGAACCGGGAGGUUCCUGGGAAGCAAGAUCCAACAUGCCCAUGAGCCCAAGACGGGCCCGGGAAGUAGGAUCCCUUCCUGCAUCCCCAGGCUCCUGCAUUUCCCAAGAAAGAGGUUCCACACGCUCGCAGGAGAGUUGCCAUCACCCUGCAUCACCCGCUAGACGACAAAGUUGUGUCUCUCAAGGGAACCAGGGAACAUGGGGCAUACGGAGGGGCCUCAGGCGAGCCCUGGCAAGCUCAGCCAGGCCCUGUGACAGCAGCAGCAACCACGGCCCCCGCCUCAGAGCCGACCUCUCCUGGGGCUCCUCCAUCAGCUUUGCAAGCAGCUGGAGGAGUCUACUCCCCCCGCAGCGCCCUGCGCAAGCAGGCCUAAAUUAUGACUCAUGGAAAUCCCCAGUGCUGCGGGGAUCAGGUCGCUUUCAGACUCCCAGCAAUUAAUGGCCCUUUUGGUCAAAGGAGAAUAGGAAAAACAAAACCAGCCUGCAAGGCUAAGGGCUUCAAAACAGGCUGUUUGGUUUCUAGUAAAUUAGAGGGAGUGGGUGGAGAGGUACCAGUAAUGCUGUCCUGUACAAUGUGGUCUUCUUUGACGUCAGCAGCAGGUUUCUCUCUCCCUGUCUCCUCCUUUCCCUCCCCUCUCUCUCCCAUGUUCCCUCCCUCUUGCCUCUUUGUGUCAAAGAGACAGAUGACAUAGGGUGGCUCUGGAAGACGACUCAUAGUCCAACACUACAGUUCAGGGUCUCAGAAGACUCCCACCCUUGCGCGAAGGCUAUGGUGAGAGGUGGGCAAAUUAGCAAGACAAAAAUGCACGGGACUCUGCAGGAAGAAGGGCAGGCCCCGGAAUCAAGCAGCAAGCCCCACUGGCCGUGCAUUCCUCCUGUCUGGCCUGAGGAGCGGUUCUGUCUGAGGGAACAUUCUUCCUGUAGCACAGAACACACACUGGUCUCCAGUGGGCCUGAAAUAGUAUCCUGGAGAGCAUGCACCCUGCUCUGUGGUCACUCUUCCUGGCAGCCAGCUGGGGCUGCUGGGCCAGGGUUUCUCCUGGCUCCCCCGCUUCUUCCACCAGAGCUGUUUUUCUCCACAGCAGUGCUGCUGCGUGUUAGCACAGAGCCAUCUAGACUGAAGACUCGAGGCAGGCUGAGCGCUCUGAGCCCGGCCCUGCCAUGCUGCAUCUCCCCCUUUCAAUGGUAUCUUCCAGCCCCUCUGUUUUAACAGGGACAGCAGCUUAGACCCCUGGGAGCCCAGCCAGGUAGAGACACGGGAGUCUCUGUAGACUGGGCCACUUCCUCCGUGGCUCUCAGUUGCCACAUGGCCUCAGCAAGCCAACUUGGUCUCUGGAGUAACGUGACUUUGCAGAAAUGCUUUCCACAGGCAGCUCUGUGAGAGCAGAAAUCCAUCCCCGAGCCCUCGGGUUCUGCAGGGCGGGAGGAACAGGGGGCUGGAGGAGCAGGGGGCAGGAAGAGCAGGGCUCAGGCCUCGGGUACACAGCCUGAUUUGUCUGUGCGAGAUAUGCCGCCUCCUCCUCUCCCCUCCUCUGACCUGCACAGCAAGGCCAUCAGAGGGCCUCAGAACAAGGAGUAUUUUGUAAGCCAACGCUUCCCAAGCUGUCUGUGGGCACCGGGUCCAUGGGAAAAGCAGACUGGCAAUGGGAAAGCACAUGUAAGAGAGAACAGAGCCAGUCACAUGGGUCUAUUCAGAGAUCAGAACCUGAAACAGAGCUGUGUGUGUGUGUGUGUGAGUGUGUGUGUGUGAGUAUAUGUGUGUGUGCAUGCGCACACUUGUGCAUGUCGGGGCAGGGAGUGCUCUGUGGUAGCAUGAGCAGAAGAUAGCUUCUCAGUGAGAGCACAGGCCCAGCUCACACAGGCAUUGACACAGAUGUGCAGUGGAUGGAUGAACCAGCAAGUGAGAGAAAAGAUCUAGGAGAGGAGGAGGCCAGGGGCGGCCUCCACCAAGCUGUCUCACUAACAGUGCAGGGACCAAUCUGUGCCCGUACCAUGGGACAACCAGGAAGAAGGCGCCCUGGUGGCCACCUGACCCAGCAAAUCACCAACCGCCACUAAACCACAAUCAUGAUCUUCAGCAUCCCUAAGGGGCUAGAGUCUCCCUACUGCCUCCCUGCCUGGUCCUCGUCCUGCCUGGCUGGUAUCUGCUGUCAUCAUUCACAGCAGCAGUGUUCACUAUGGCCCGUGCAAGAGGAAAGAGCUAACUCUGCCGAGCAAGUGUUACGGCGUGUGGGUGCGGAGUGUACUAUUCCCACUCACACUGGCUGAGAGGUAAGCAUCAUGGCCCCCAUUUUACAAAUAAGGAGUUGCAGAGAAGUUAAGUCACUGGCCCAAAGUGAUGCAGUAGCAGCAAAGAGACGCUCACGCUGACAUGAGACACGUUCCUUCGAUGAAGACAGGUCAGUGAAAGCUCAGCUCCCAUUGCAGAGGAGCUCGGAGGACAUCAGGGGACUCUGCAAGCCCCACACUCUGUGUGUAUGUGCCCAUGUGAGUGGCACACGGGUGAGCCCACUCAGCCCAGGACAGCACCUUCGGCUGGCACAUCCAGCCCGUGUUCUACCAAAAGCCCGUGUUCAAAACCCACUUAUUGAAAAGCUCAUCUCUGGUUGGGCAGGACAAACGCUUGGCCUGAGGCCGUUCCAGGGGACUGUGCUUCUCGCCAGAGGUUCCUGCCCGGGAACAAAGCCCAAUAACCACACAACCGAACCCUUGGAAAGAUCAGCAGACUCAGGUGACGACAAGUUUAUUUUAAGUAAAUCAAGAGGGAGACGGGAUGUGAAAACAGUUUCUGCAAGGGCUGGGGCUCAUCCUCGUCCCUUCUCUGAGGUGGAGCCCACCCACCCAAAAGCACUGACUGGAACAGAGAGGAAGAGCCUGGUGGUCCCCAUGAACCCACAGCUGCCCAUGUGGAGAUGUGCCCAUGGGGCACAGGGGCUCUGCACAGUGGAAGCACCGCUUUGCUCAGAUCUCUCCAUGCGUCCUCCAGUUUCUGAAUGAAGACUCUGCUGCUUUUCCUUCUUGGCAAAGCUACUCUCAUUAAAAAGCCAGUAUCCUAGAAACUGAAGUGGCCUUGGAUGCCAUUCUGUUGCAGCAGACUGAACUUUCCUUGCUGAAUCAGACCCCUUAAUAUGUCAACGAUGAGUCACACACAAGUAAAUGAGCCACCAGGAGGAAGAGAGAUAACGAGGCGAUAUUUAUCAGUGGCUGUCUCUUAGCAAAUGAUGAGCAUUGCCUACCCGCUGGUCAUGUUGCUGUGCGUUACCUUCCCGACCAUCACUUAGGCACUCCUGGGAUGGUUUCUAACUGUCAAUAUUUACAGGAACUGGCCCUUCACCACCCAGGCCAAGUGGGCUGGAUGUCUCCAAGUGUGAGUCCUGACGAAGGAAGCCUUGUAUGGAAGGGUCCCUUCUCUAAGUCCUCCUUGGCUGGAGCAGACUUCGAGCCAAUGGCCAUCUGUCAGCAGAGCAGGCCUGACUGUCCAGCCAGUGCCUGGAAACCUGGGGCUCCACUUGAGAAUGGGGGCGUAGUGAUUUCUUGGGAUUCUGAAAGCUCAGGGUCACGCAUCUGAAACACAGCUACCCUCAGAAAAAGGGUGACUUACAUUCUCAUGAAGGAAAGGAUUCUGCUUGGUAAUGAGCACGGAGCAAGAGGAGGAGGGCAGGAUGCAGGGGCAGCCAUGGAGCCAGCAGAGGAAGGCGUUGAGGAGGAAGUGGGGCCAAGCACAUGGUGGCUUUGGGACAUUCCUGACGUGCUGACCCUCAGGUAAGCCUAGGGAUAGGCACGUUUGAUGGAGUGUAGAAAAGAAAGGGAAGUUGUGCCAACCACACAGAGAGACGCCACGGACUCCAGGAAGACCACGCUCGGCAGGAGGAGGCAGCAACCAUACAAACCCCAACCCGGCUCUCCAGGAAAUGUGUCUGCACAGGCAUCCCAUGCUGGCCACAGCCCUCUGGGGACCAGCACUAUGCAGCCCAGGACCAAUUGGUCGACAAUGAGCUCCUAGAAUCCCAGCCCCUUUACAAUCAAUGAGGUAAGCUGGCACUGCAGAAACCCAUGAGACGGUAGGAUUAUCAUUGCACUACAUGAUAGAAAGUGCUGGGUUCAAAAUGGCAGACUCCCUAGGAGAACAAGAAAUGGUAAGACUUCCACACUGUGCAUAGGUUCUUCAUAGGCUGGGCACGUUUGAAGUUGCCAGAUGUUCCCAGAGAUCGCAAGAUGAUUCCAAGAUGAAAUGAGCCACUGAUGGCUGCAGACAAAGAGGUCACAGCACAUGACCCUCCAGGACCACAAGGCCAAGGACAAUCUGCCCGUCGCAGUUGCAUGGGCAACCCCUGCCCAUGGGGGAGGGGCAGCCAGGAGGAAGGAUGCUUCCGAGUCUGUGAGGGGUUUCCAUCCCAUCCCAGGGCUUCUGGGGGCCUCUGCCGGGCCCUGCGUUUCAUUUCCCCACGGGGUUUCCGCUUUCUGUGGAGGGCGGAGGCCAGGCGAGGCUGAAUCGGGAGAACUCUGGAGGAGUAGAUGAAGACCCACAGCCUUUCCCGGGUCCUCUUUCCAUACUUCUCUGCUUUCGUCUCUAGAGUUUCCUGAAUCCCCAGAGCAGGACAUGUGCUGAGUGGACAGGUUGGAAGGUGGAACCAGUUUGCUGGGGCUGCUGCCACAAAGUACCAAGCCCAGGAGGCUUAGACAACAGAACUUCCUUUCCCCACAGCCCUGGAGGCUGGAGUCCAGGGUCAAGGUGCGGCAGGGCUGCUCCUCCCAAGGCCUCUCUCUUGGCUUGCAGACAACAUCUUCUCCCUGCGUCCUCACCUGACCAUCCCUCUGUGUGAUCUGUCUUCUCAUCUCCUCUUCCACAAGGACCCCAGUCACACUGGAUGAGUUCCCACCCAUGUGAUCCCAUUUUAGCUUGAUCACCUUUUGAAAGACCCUGUACCCAAGAGGGUCACACUCUGAGGUCCCGGAGAUUGGGACUUCCACCCUUACAAAGAUGAAGCAGGAAGAAAGACCAACAAAUCCGUGUGGAGCCCCCACCCUGUUUGGCUCUGGCCAGGCAACCGGGUAAAAGAACUGUCCGUGCUGUCUAUCUCACUGCACCUGAAGGAGGACAGCCCUGGAGGGAGGAGGGCAGAUCAGUUCUGACCAGAAUGAGCACGCAUCAGGCUUCCCCCAGGGCAAGAGGGCUCCACACACUGGACACAUGCUGCAUCCCGGGAAGACCAAGUCCAGAGCCAGAAGACCCUCCCAGACCACUAAGGAACCAUGUGGCCACCACUGCAGGCCCAGAGAAGCCCACCAGCACCUUUCCAGAUCAGGAACACGGUGCCGAGGUGAAGUGCCCCCAGUGAGACCAGGCCUUCCUGCUGCCCACCCUGCAGCCCCCAUGAAGCCCGGGGGCCCACAGCUGCCUGGAGCCACAGAGCAGAACUGAAAUCCCCAUGAUAGCAUUCAGGUUGGUUGUGCCGAGCAGGCUACCCACCACAGACCACAGCCAGCUGCUGGGUGACAGGAGCUGCUCCUCCCUGGGAUAAUGUCAUCCAUGAGAGGAGAGUGAAAGUUUCUACAUCCUCCCCUCCAUCCCUUAAAACACCCAGUAUUCUGUGCCCAAAACUGCACCCCUAGCAAGAAAGCCAAUUAGAGGAACAGAGAGGCUGCCUGCCUGUGGGCGUGUUAACCAGCCUGCUCCUCUACUCCCCACAGAUAACCUGUGACAUCACUUGCUUGUCAUUAUCUGUUUUGUGCAUGUUGCUUCAUCUUCAGAGACAUCUCCAGUGGGUGUUUGGGUGACUAAAAGGAGGUCAGAGUUCCUCUGAUCACCAACCAGACAGCAGGGGCAAGCCAGGUGACCCUUGGCUGAAGUCGGCCUGGCAUAAACGCAGAACCCUUCCUUUCAGUGUCUUUCAGGCUGUGCUCUCCACCUGGACUGCAGCCCCCAGUGAAUCUCCCCUGCGAGGGAGUGGCCCUUUUGUUCUUUUCCAGCACAUUCCUGCUCAGGUCCCCACGUAACCAGUCACCUGGUCUUGCCAGGAGUCUUGCCUUUGUGGCCGAGCACACAGGGCAAGAGUGGGAGUCAAGGUUUCCUCUGCUCCGCUGGGAUUUUCACGGGGUUUUUAUCUGGUUUCAUUUUCGCCAGCCUUCUGAGAACGUUCUCGUGUUCCUCCUUCACGCACCCCGUCGAUCCUCCAAGGCAUUCUGCCCAGAGAGCCACACAGCUGUGCAUCCCCCAGAAGUGGGGUUCAGAAAACCCCCUCACCCCAAGGAUUUUCAAACCAGAAACAGCCCCUGCCCCAGACCAUGCCCCUCGCUGCCAGGCCUGGGGUGGGCAGAGGUGAGGCCACAGGACCUGGCCUGUGUCUUGGGAAGAGCCUCGGUGCCUGGUGAGGCUGGUCGAAUUGACUGACUGCCCAGGACAGGGGCCCUUUCCUCUGCACUGACCAUGGAAUCCAAAGUGAGCUGCAGCUCAGCUCUGUCAUCUCCACAGCACCAGGAUGGAGCCUCCAUGCUCACUGGGUCCCAGUGAGGCCACCAUGGCCUGGUGAGGUGGCAGUCCCUCUCUGGUGCAAUGAGCAAAGCGUAUCACCUGCCUGGUCGAGGAAGCUUCUCAGAGAGACGAAAUCAGUGUUUGAGAGACAGCAAGCGCCUUGCAGGCUGGCCCUGCUGCGGUGUCCUGGCCACACCAAGCCCUUCUGGAAGCGCCGUCUGGUUGGACUUGCAUUUCCCACACAUGCAGCUACUCCAUUUCUCGCUAGCCAUGGGGUAGCCCGAUGCUGGUCGUUGUACCUGAGCUAGUCAGCUGACCCUCUGCCCUGAUGGCAGCAAUGGGAGGGUCUAGGGUAAAGGAGAGAAGGCAGCUGAAGAAGAAGCCACCUUACCCAAGUGAGAUGAGGACGCAGCCCCUUUGCAGAGGGUGUGGAGGGAGGCUGGAGGUCCUGCGCCCCAGGCAGAGGCAGGCAUCUGGAUAGCUGCAGUGCUCCUGGGACAGGCAGCAGGCAGCAGCUUUGGAUAGCCACCAGGACCCUUCCAUGGGGACGUGCUGGCCACACUGUCCUCGCCUGUCUCGUCAUCUGCCAAAUGGACAAGUGGACCACAGGAGAACUGGCUCAAGCACCUCUGCUGUCAUACUGACCCCUGUCUGCAGGCCCUGGGGCCUGGCCUCCCUGGCACAGGCCACCCCCAGGGCGAGGUUGCCCCUCAGACGCACCCACUCGUGUCUUUCCACCAGAACCACAGGAAGGCCUGAGCAGGCUUGCUAGAGCCAGGCCCUGGGGCCCACUGACCCCCUCACUCAGCUCAAGGGGUCUGGGAGGGCCAGCAGACACGGGUCAGAGCCUCUGUUUUGGCUCCAAGUUCAGGGAGUCUAGCCAGAGCCACACAGCGUCCCCGGGGACCCCUCGGGAGCGGACCCAGUCCUGAGUCAGAGGAAACACUCACUGAAUCACCAUCCACUUCCUCCCACAGCUCGGCCCAGACAAGCGGCUGCUUCCCAGGCACAAACCAGUGACAGCACUCCAAAGGGGAGCCCACCGGCCCCACUCCCAUGCAUGAACCCCAAGCCCCAUCCAUGGGGCCCACCCUCCACUUUUCCAGAGUAGAGCCCCACGGCUUUAAGCAGCCCCAUCCUGUCCUGUGCUGACCUGGCCAUGCUAUUUCUCACUUCCCUCUUCAGGGCACAGCCACACUUUCCAAAUGCCAUGAGUCAUCACCACCACCAACGACUCCUGAGUGGGGCCGGAAACCGCCAAGCGCCAGACCUGGACAGCAACUCCCACUGUGCCCCCCCCGCCCAGCCGCUGGUCAUGGUGGCACAGGGCCACAGGGAAACUGCUGGGCAGAACUGCCCCUCAUGCACUCAGCCACCCCAUCGUCCUCAGGGAGAACUCAUCCACCCUCAAGAUAACUUAUGGGCAGCUCUUGGGUGCACUGGCAGAGGUGAAGUCAUCAUCUAAUCCAAAGAGGCGGAAGAAGGGGUAGGCUGGGCCCAGACCCAGGGUGGUCAGAUGAGAGAAGAUCCAUCAGCAGGACAUGGGCAGCCCUCCAUGGCGCCACAAUUAUACAAUAAAUGUCACCCUGUCAACCAAGGCUCUUAAUGCCCAGAACCAUAUGCCUUUUAGAGGCCAUUCUGCAAGUUCCCAGGAGCAGUCACCAGGGAGGCCACAGGUCAGUCAGUCCUCUAUGAAAUGUUUUGUCCUCAAAGAGUCAUUAGACUUUUCUGCACUGGUCUCCUGGCUCCCGGCUCUCUGCAUCUGCCCUUUGUCUUAGGUUCUCCAGCAGGAUGAAACCUUGGGAAGCCAUGAUCCUGUUCCUGGGCAGCCAUAGACAGCAGCAUUCAACAGCAGUGGACCAGGGAAUGCAAAUCAACACACAAUUAAACCUCAGCCUUAACCUAUCGGACUUUAAAUAUUGCCGGGGUGGCCAGAGGCAGGGAGAUGGGCACCUUCCUUUACCUGGAUGGUUGGAAGCCUUGCACAUUUUCUGGAGGGAAUUUGACCCUGUGUGUUAAAUGAUCCAUGAUGGCCCCUUUAACUUCUUAAAUUUCUAGGAAUUUAUUCUCAACCAAAACAAAAUUGCAGAAAAAUGUAAGUGCAAAGAUAAUUAUCUCAGUGUGGUAGUCAAAUACUUACAAAUAAUAAUGAUGUUGAAAUAAAUAAAAUAAAGGUCUAUCCACAACUAAAAAAUAUUAAUAAAUAAUGACAUUAAAAACAAUCUAGAUACGAUUGAGCCAAUGAAUUAUUAUGCAGUUGAUAAAAUACUAUGCAACUGUUAAAAGUAAUGUUGGACAUUUACACCCAAAGUCAUAGAAAAAAUAUUCACCUGGCUCACUGUGUUAGAUGAGACAUAGGCAAAGAGCCACAUGUUUAGCCCAUGUAGGUAAAAGUGUGAGUGUUCAGGUCUAAGAAACACACAAGGGCUGGAGUUGUGGCUCAGUGGUACAGCGCUUGCCUAGCACGUGCGGACGAGUUUUGUACCACUGGGUACCACUUAUUUUUACUUAUUUUAUUUACUUUAAAUUAAAUUUACAUAAAAAUAAGUAAAUGAAAUAAAUAUAUUUUAAAAAUUUAUUUUAAAAAAAAGAAAAAGAAACACACAAGUGAUGAUCAAAUUGUGAAGGUCACCUCUGCAGAGUGGGAUUCGGGGAUGGUUUUAACUUUCUUCUUCACAUUUUCUGUAUUUCUUAAAAUUGUCCACAAUAAAUAUGAAUCACUUUUUCAACAGGAA